This 1242-nucleotide ribosomal RNA is filed under the name metagenome. RNAcentral describes it as "bacterial LSU rRNA". It matches the Rfam family "Bacterial large subunit ribosomal RNA", at positions 1564 to 2815 of the family's 2925-position model. The record is from RNAcentral.
UGAGUACGAGAUGCUACGGCAUCGAAGCAGUCUAUGUCAUACUUCCAAGAAAAGCUUGCACUGUCAUAAACAAAGAAUGCCUGUACCAUAACCGACACAGGUGGGUAGGUAGAGUAUACUAAGGGGCGCGAGAUAACUCUCUCUAAGGAACUCGGCAAAAUGACUCCGUAACUUCGGGAGAAGGAGUGCCUUAUUUCUAAGGUUGCAAUAACAAGAUCCAAGCAACUGUUUACCAAAAACACAGGUCUCCGCUAAGUCGUAAGACGAUGUAUGGGGGCUGACGCCUGCCCAGUGCCAGAAGGUUAAAGAAGUUGGUUAGCAUUAGCGAAGCUGAUAACUGAAGCCCUGGUGAACGGCGGCCGUAACGAUAACGGUCCUAAGGUAGCGAAAUUCCUUGUCGGGUAAGUUCCGACCCGCACGAAAGGCGUAAUGAUUUGGAUACUGUCUCGGAGAGGGGCUCGGUGAAAUAGACUUGUCUGUGAAGAUGCGGACUACCUGCACCUGGACAGAAAGACCCUAUGAAGCUUUACUGUAACUUGAGAUCGAAAUUGGACUUUAUUUGCGCAGUAUAGGUGGGAGGCGUUGAGAAUAAUCUUGCGGGAUUGUUGGAGCCAUCAGUGAGAUACCACUCUUGUAAUGUUAGAUUUCUAACUUUGUAUCAUUAUCUGGUCAAAGAACAGUUUCAGGCGGGCAGUUUGACUGGGGCGGUCGCCUCCCAAAGGGUAACGGAGGCGCACAAAGGUUUCCUCUGAACGGGUAGAAAUCGUAUCUAGAGUGUAAAGGCAUAAGGAAGCUUGACUGUGAGACCUACAAGUCGAGCAGGGACGAAAGUCGGUCUUAGUGAUCUGACGGUGCUGAGUGGAAAGGCCGUCACUCAACGGAUAAAAGUUACUCUAAGGAUAACAGGCUGAUCUCCCCCAAGAGUUCACAUCGACGGGGAGGUUUGGCACCUCGAUGUCGGCUCAUCGCAUCCUGGGGCGGUAGUCCGUCCCAAGGGUUGGGCUGUUCGCCCAUGAAAGCGGUACGCGAGCUGGGUUCAGAACGUCGUGAGACAGUUCGGUCCAUAUCCGGUGUAGGCGUUAGAAUAUUGAGAGGAGCCUUCUCUAGUACGAGAGGACCGAGAAGGACAUACCUCUGGUGUACCAGUUAUCGUGCCAACGGUAAACGCUGGGUAGCUAUGUAUGGAGUGGAUAACCGCUGAAAGCAUCUAAGUGGGAAGCCCACCUCAAGAUAAGUAUUCUC